Molecule: non-coding RNA, 50 nt
Filed under: Trichobilharzia regenti
Lineage: Eukaryota; Metazoa; Platyhelminthes; Trematoda; Strigeidida; Schistosomatidae
Source: RNAcentral
GUACUGCAGAAGUGUCCCAAACUAGGACGAAACGGGUAGCUGUCCAGUAC